UACGGAGGGGACUAGCGUUGUUCGGAAUUACUGGGCGUAAAGCGCACGUAGGCUGAUUUGUAAGUCAGGGGUGAAAUCCUGGGGCUCAACCUCGGAACUGCCUUUGAUACUGCAAAUCUCGAGUCCGGAAGAGGUGAGUGGAAUUCCUAGUGUAGAGGUGAAAUUCGUAGAUAUUAGGAAGAACACCAGUGGCGAAGGCGGCUCACUGGUCCGGUACUGACGCUGAGGUGCGAAAGCGUGGGGAGCAAACAGG
This 253-nucleotide ribosomal RNA is filed under the name uncultured bacterium. RNAcentral's name for it is "partial 16S ribosomal RNA". It matches the Rfam family "Bacterial small subunit ribosomal RNA", at positions 524 to 776 of the family's 1533-position model. The record is from RNAcentral.